CACGAGUUUUGCUGCUUUGUAACCAAUAAAUGUGAUAGUGAAAAAUUUAUUAAAAGUGCUAACUGUUACUAUACAAGUAAAAAUGCUUAAAAUAUUGGUUCAAAGUUUAGCGAAAAUCUCGUGUGAAAACCGAGCGCCGUCACAUGUGGCUGCAGUGGCGUGUGUAAAAAAUUUAUUGAUUUUUCCAUCGGCCGUUAUUAACCCAGCCACGAGUACUAUAUCACGACGCCAUUUUCUUUUUUCUUCAACCAACAGAGGACCGGUGAAUUUUGCUUUUUCCAAGUAUCAACUAUUUACAGGCAGAGAAACUAUCGCUCAAGCAGAGUUUAAGAAAUCUAGUAAUCUCGGUGGAAUAACAAGUAGCUCUGAUAGCUUCUAUAGGUAUUUUCACAAAACAAGCGAAAAUUUGUUGGAAGCAGAAGCGACGCCUGUGGAAAAGCAAAAAUUUACGGCAACAAAAAGAGAUCAGGACUCAUUUACAAAAACAUCAAUAUAUAUAGAUCCAGACGAAAUGGCACCUCACGAUAGGAAUUUUGGUACUCGUGGUGGACGUGGCGGUGAUGACCGUCAGGCCAGACAUGGCGGCAGUGCUGGUGGCAUGCGUCAUGGCGGCGGCGGUGGUGGUGUUGGUGGUGGUGACUUCCAUGGCGUACGCAAUGGACGUAUUGACAAGAACCGUGGUGGCGGCCGUGGCGGUAAUUUUGGUGGCGGCAGUGGCUUCGGCGGCGGAGCUGGUGGGUACGGUGGUGGCAAUAGCCGCGGUGGCACACAGGACAUCACACUUGGCUCUGUCGAUUUCUCAAAUCUGGCACCCUUCAAGAAGAAUUUCUACCAAGAACACCCAAUUGUAGCCAAUCGUUCGCCCUAUGAAGUACAGCGCUUCCGUGAUGAGCAUGAGAUUACCAUUCGUGGAAAUGCACCAAACCCAAUUCAGGACUUCAGUGAAGCGUAUUUUCCGGAUUAUGUUAUGAAGGAGAUACGUCGACAAGGAUACAAGGCACCUACAGCUAUCCAAGCUCAAGGUUGGCCAAUCGCUAUGAGCGGUUCUAAUUUUGUUGGUAUUGCUCAGACUGGAUCAGGAAAAACACUCGGUUAUAUCUUACCAGCAAUUGUGCACAUUAACAACCAAAAACCAUUGGAGCGUGGUGAUGGACCAAUUGCAUUAGUAUUGGCACCUACACGCGAAUUGGCUCAACAGAUUCAACAAGUUGCGACAGAAUUCGGGUCAUCUUCUUAUGUUCGAAAUACUUGUGUAUUCGGUGGUGCUCCAAAAGGAGGCCAAAUGCGCGACUUGCAGCGUGGAUGCGAGAUCGUCAUUGCCACACCCGGUCGUCUAAUUGAUUUUCUCUCAAUGAAUGCUACAAACUUGAAGCGUUGUACAUAUCUAGUAUUAGAUGAAGCUGACCGUAUGUUAGACAUGGGUUUCGAGCCACAGAUCCGCAAAAUAUUGUCACAGAUUCGCCCUGAUCGCCAAACUCUCAUGUGGUCCGCCACUUGGCCGAAAGAGGUUAAGCAAUUGGCAGAAGAUUUCCUCGGCAACUACAUACAAAUCAAUAUUGGCUCUUUGGAGUUGUCGGCGAACCAUAACAUCCGUCAAGUGAUCGAUGUUUGCGAAGAACAUGACAAGGAAGACAAGCUGAAAUCAUUGCUUUCCGAAAUUUACGAUACCAGCGAAAACCCCGGCAAGAUCAUCAUAUUUGUGGAGACUAAACGCCGUGUUGACAAUCUGGUGCGUUUCAUUCGCAGUUUUGGUGUACGUUGUGGCGCCAUUCACGGUGACAAGUCACAGUCAGAACGUGACUACGUUUUGCGCGAAUUCCGUUCGGGCAAGUCAAACAUUUUGGUAGCAACCGACGUGGCUGCACGCGGUUUGGAGGCCGAUUAUUGUAGUAUGGUGGGGAUAGUAUGAACAACUUCUGAAACUACGCAAUUCGAUACAAUUGCGUUUAUAAGUGAACUCUGAAAUUUUAUCAUAAAAAGAAGCCGGUGAAAAGUUCUUUGAAAGGAUCUUUUCCAAAAAAAACCGAGUGUGGUGGCAGUACUUUGUCUAAACAUUCCAAGGUAAAACGGAUGUGGAACCAUCUGCUGCCAUACGUUUGCUCAUAACGUCACUGCACAUUGGAGGAGAAGAUAUAUUAAUCAACAGCCGAUAGAUAAUCUUGCCUGAUACGUGCAACCUUUACGAAAAAGCGUUCCAGCGUACUCUAGCUGAUACUCAAUUGAUAAGCAACAAGAAAACAAAAAGCGGCAACAUUCAUUUACAAUACGCGAGAUAUAUGUCGCGUCGUGUAAAAUAUUUGUUCUUCCAAAUACAAAAGUAAAUUCUACUUCUUCCCAAAUUCGCAAUGUGCACAUAGAGUUCUGCGGUACACAAUAUCCCUAUCAUCAUGCAGCAAAUGUGGCCUCUGCUAUCUUUUAUUCAAGUGAUAGUAUUUGUAAAACUAAACAAUAUCGAUUCCAAAGAGAGAAAACUAUAAAAAAAGAAAUAGGAUUUCUAACCGUACAGACAGCGUUACUCAAAUGACUUACUGUGGAGCACAUAAAGGAGAGAUUAAGUUAGUUAUUUUAUGUGUAUCUCUCUGGCAUGUACUCCAUAAGGGAACAGCGUUUAAAUCACACGCAGGCACUUAGAGAAACUCCAUAAAACUAAAUGCAUGUCCGUCCUAGAAUCGCAACAGCGCAUGUGUUCUUUGGCUGGAUCGUAACGUCAUCGUAAAAAAGAUAAUUGAUUUGCAAGGAACAGGGUCACUACGGUUAUUGCAAUAUUUUAAUAGUUGUCGUAGUGUUGGAAUUGAUAACAAUAUUAUAAGUGAAAUUAAUUUUUAUUUGUUUGCAAACGCUGUGAUCCUGUUCAUCGCGUAUCCGCGGAUUUGAAGCUAGGUUGGUUGGUGUAACGUGGCACGGUGUAAAAAUGUUUUGCCUUACUCAUUCGAUAGACGUAAACGGUUGCAUCGAACGUGUUGGUGGCGACCUUCUUUUGGACACUAAACAAAUGUUGAGAAGCUGUUGCUGUUGUUCUAACUCUACCAUGGACAUCACAGAACACCAGUUCACCAUUUGCUGCACGUCCAGAAAUAAGCGUCGUCGUCUGCGGAUACUGGUGCAACACAUUCACAUUCCAUAAAAUGCGAAAAGUUCGUGCAAGGCAAAACGUUCUCUUAGAAAAAGUGCCACAUAUGCAUCGCAAAGCCGCCUACAAAGGACACAGUUGCAACAUCGAUUAUUUAAUUAAUACUAUAAUUUGGAGGAUAUGCAUAUCAAAAGCUUGAAAUGUAAAAAUAAACACAGUUAUUUGGAGAAAAGCGGCGGGCAUUUACUGGCCGUUGAACUGAAAAGAUGAAAACAUGCUUUAUCAACUUGCCUGCGGUAGUGGUUUACCUGAACAUUGGUAGAUGGAUGCACGACGUCGGCGGGCGGCGCACAAACUCGAACCAUAAAAUUAGUUGGAUGUGCGCUGAACUCCGAUCGAGACGCAUUAAUUCAAAAGUCGUGCGGAAUCGAGCUGCAUCGUUCGUCCAUCUUCUGUCAAGUCAAUGCUGAUUGAGUGAGGGAGAGACAGAUUAGAGGGAAAAAUACCCUACAUAUAUUUAAAGUUUUUCGACAUGCUCUUUUCCUCGUUUCGCUGAACGUGACGAGAGAAGAGCGUGGAUAUAAAUCGACUAUUUGAAGACGUUGAUGGCAUCAAAUAUGUGAUUAAUUUCGAUUACCCACAAUCGUCGGAGGACUACAUUCACAGAAUAGGACGCACUGGACGUUCCAAUACAAAGGGCACUUCAUAUGCAU
RNA transcript from Anastrepha obliqua, 3783 nucleotides. It is a transcript of the gene named ATP-dependent RNA helicase p62, with no coding region annotated. NCBI's taxonomy places the organism in Eukaryota, Metazoa, Arthropoda, Insecta, Diptera, Tephritidae. The transcript is spliced from 5 exons. The record is from RefSeq and is a predicted model, not a curated record.